GAUGAAGAACGUAGCGAAAUGCGAUAAGUAAUGUGAAUUGCAGAAUUCAGUGAAUCAUCGAAUCUUUGAACGCAUCUUGCGCUCCUUGGUAUUCUGAGGAGCAUGCCUGUUUGAGUGUCAUUUCAACCCUCAAGCACAGCUUGGUGUUGGGACUCGCGUUAAUUCGCGUUCCCCAAAUUGAUUGGCGGUCACGUCGAGCUUCCAUAGCGUAGUAGUAAAACCCUCGUUACUGGUAAUCGUCGCGGCCACGCCGUUAAACCCCAACUUCUGAAUGUUGACCUCGGAUCAGGUAGGAAUACCCGCUGAACUUAAGCAUAUCAAUAAGCGGAGGA
Molecule: unclassified non-coding RNA, 332 nt
Filed under: soil metagenome
Description: partial contains 5.8S ribosomal RNA, internal transcribed spacer 2, and large subunit ribosomal RNA
Rfam family: 5.8S ribosomal RNA (bases 1-120)
Source: RNAcentral